RNAcentral lists this ribosomal RNA (1205 nucleotides) under Yersinia pestis. Its description in RNAcentral is "partial 23S ribosomal RNA". It matches the Rfam family "Bacterial large subunit ribosomal RNA", at positions 1211 to 2397 of the family's 2925-position model. The record is from RNAcentral. Lineage: Bacteria; Pseudomonadati; Pseudomonadota; Gammaproteobacteria; Enterobacterales; Yersiniaceae.
ACUUAGGUGUUGUUGGGUAGGGGAGCGUUCUGUAAGCCGUUGAAGGUGACCUGUGAGGGUUGCUGGAGGUAUCAGAAGUGCGAAUGCUGACAUAAGUAACGAUAAUGCGGGUGAAAAACCCGCACGCCGGAAGACCAAGGGUUCCUGUCCAACGUUAAUCGGGGCAGGGUGAGUCGACCCCUAAGGCGAGGCUGAAAAGCGUAGUCGAUGGGAAACAGGUUAAUAUUCCUGUACUUGGUGUUACUGCGAAGGGGGGACGGAGAAGGCUAGGCUGGCCGGGCGACGGUUGUCCCGGUUUAAGCGUGUAGGGGGAGUGACCAGGUAAAUCCGGUUGCUUAUCAACCCUGAGGCGUGAUGACGAUGCACCACGGUGCAGAAGCAGUUGAUGCCAUGCUUCCAGGAAAAGCCUCUAAGCAUCAGGUAACAUUAAAUCGUACCCCAAACCGACACAGGUGGUCAGGUAGAGAAUACUCAGGCGCUUGAGAGAACUCGGGUGAAGGAACUAGGCAAAAUGGUGCCGUAACUUCGGGAGAAGGCACGCUGGCGUUAGGUGAAAGGACUAGCUCCUGGAGCUGAAGCCAGUCGCAGAUACCAGCUGGCUGCAACUGUUUAAUAAAAACACAGCACUGUGCAAACACGAAAGUGGACGUAUACGGUGUGACGCCUGCCCGGUGCUGGAAGGUUAAUUGAUGGGGUCAGCCGCAAGGCGAAGCUCUUGAUCGAAGCCCCAGUAAACGGCGGCCGUAACUAUAACGGUCCUAAGGUAGCGAAAUUCCUUGUCGGGUAAGUUCCGACCUGCACGAAUGGCGUAAUGAUGGCCAGGCUGUCUCCACCCGAGACUCAGUGAAAUUGAACUCGCUGUGAAGAUGCAGUGUACCCGCGGCAAGACGGAAAGACCCCGUGAACCUUUACUAUAGCUUGACACUGAACAUUGAGCCUUGAUGUGUAGGAUAGGUGGGAGGCCUUGAAGUGUGGACGCCAGUCUGCAUGGAGCCAACCUUGAAAUACCACCCUUUAAUGUUUGAUGUUCUAACUCGGCCCCAUGAUCUGGGGUGAGGACAGUGUCUGGUGGGUAGUUUGACUGGGGCGGUCUCCUCCCAAAGAGUAACGGAGGAGCACGAAGGUUAGCUAAUCACGGUCGGACAUCGUGAGGUUAGUGCAAAGGCAUAAGCUAGCUUGACUGCGAGAGUGACGGCUCGAGCAGG